AUAAUUACGUAAUUGUCAAUAAAUCCUGAGUUGUUGAUGUGUCAAAGUGAAAAUUAUUUCCGCAAUUUUAGUGAUUUCUAAUUGAAAACGAGACGAAAACAUUGAAAAGCGACUUAAAAAAGGUAACAUGGAUGAUACCAAUAGUCCAGUUAUAAACUAUUCAAGCAACAAUAAAAAAAAAUUGAAUGGUCUGUUUCGUUCAAAAUGUUUAACCUCGUAACGCCCAGAUACCUAUUAAAAGGCAUGCAGCUCGAUAGUGGUACCGGCCCAAGCUGUUAUCCAACUUUAUGACAUAAACGCCCUCGGUACCUUUUUAAAGGUAUCUGACAGGUAUCUGAUUUGAAAACGCCGUAACAUUUUAAAUUACGCGCCAAAUCUUAAAGACACAAAAUCAGUAUCUUGACGAGAUUUCUUCUAUGACCGGACCAUGUUAUUCGUGUUGAAGAUAGUAUAAAAAACGAGAUGGAAUAACUGCAGAAAUGGAAGAGUUCAUAAUAAGAGUCAGAGAUAAUGAUAGUGAUUCUUACUAUUCACUCACGGUUGAAUUUUUAGAUUUAAUAUGAUUAUAUUGAUUAAAAACAAACUUUAAUUGUAUUUUUAUUGUGUUUUUUCUUGCUUUCAUUCGGUGUUCUUUUUUGUCUGUCUGUAUCACUUAACUACUAUAUUACUGUAUAAAUCAAUAUUAAAAAGAUGAAGAGUU
Colias croceus (clouded yellow) is the source of this 700-nucleotide long non-coding RNA. RefSeq lists it as uncharacterized. NCBI's taxonomy places the organism in Eukaryota, Metazoa, Arthropoda, Insecta, Lepidoptera, Pieridae. The record is from RefSeq and is a predicted model, not a curated record. The transcript has 2 exons.